AGAUGAAGGUGUGAAUAUCUUAAACCUCAAAGCCAUAUCGCCGCUGAUACCCGCAUCCCUCCCUCCUUCCAUCCAUCAUCUUCUGCAACUGCAACUCUGCAAGUGUGUGGUUGUAAAGUAAUCAGAGAGGGAGUGGCUACAAACCUACAACCCUACAACCUACAAACAAGAAGGGAAGAUGGGAGAAAUUACAGCGAAACUCCAAGGAGCUGCCCUGUUGGUUGUAACAUAUGUUUCUUUGUUUGUUUACUGUAUUUAGUUUCUUACUACUUCCUGGUGGUGUUGAUAGUUUCAUUUAUGUACAAAGUUACAUCAGAAGUCAAACAACACUAGGACUGUGAUUUCUGUUCUUUACUUAUCACCAUUUCCAGUUAAUGGGUUCUUGGGAAUCAUACAACCAGAAAAUGGUGAGGUGAUGCAAUAGAAUUGUGCUUGACUCUAUCAUCUAUUUUCCUUGCGUUCCAUCCCCAUUCCCAUUCCCAUUCUCAUAUACCAGUUCCAUGACAGUUCACAGAUGAGUGGGUCUGGGUGUCUCAGAUCCUUGAUGCUCACUCUAAACCAAUUCCCUGAGCCUCUGUUUUCCCAUCGCUUCCUGCGUCAUUUCAGAAACCAACUCACUCUCACAACCAAACCCACCUCAUUUAUCAAUCCUCACAAGUGCUUUUGUGGGAAUGUCACAAGGUUGAGCUCGGCAGAAUAUAGUAACGCAGCAGCGAAAGCCCAUAUCUUCGAUGGUAGUCUAGUUCAUCAAAAUGAAAGCAAUCCAAAGGGGAUUGAAUUCCUGCAUUCGGUGGAAGCACAUUGCGUUCGUGCUAAUUGUCAGACUUAUGUUUGGCUUUUAAAAGGGUGCUCAAGUUCUGGGUCCUUUUUAGAUUCUAAGAAGCUUCACUCUACGAUUCUGAAGCUGGGUUUUGAUGCAGAACAGGUAAUAUGUGAUGGCCUCACUGAUGCUUAUCUUGCCUGUGGUGAUUUAGAUGGUGCGGUUAAGGUUUUCGAUGACAUGCCCCACAGAAGUUCAUUUUCAUGGAAUAACAUAAUUCGUGGGUUUCUUGCAAAGAAGUUGACCAGCCAUGUAUUGGAUCUCUUUUCUCGAAUGAUAGCAGAUAAUGUGCAUCCUGAUGAGACCACGUUUGCCUGGGUUUUAAGGGCAUGUGGUGGGGGUAAUGUCCGUUUCCAAUAUGUUGAACAGAUUCAUACAAGGAUUAUUUGUCAUGGUUUUGGUACUAAUUUGCUCGUAUGUAAUCCCUUAAUUGAUUUGUAUGCCAAAAACGGGUAUGUGGAUUAUGCUAAAAAGGUCUUUGAUAAAUUAUAUCUAAGGGAUAGUGUUUCUUGGGUGGCCAUGAUUUCCGGUCUAUCUCAGAAUGGACGGGAAAAAGAAGCAGUUCUCUUAUUCAUUCAGAUGCAAACAUCAGGAAUUUUACCCACUCCUUAUGUAUUCUCAAGUGUACUAAGUGCCUGCACCAAAAUAGAGUUAUUUGAGAUGGGAGCACAGCUGCACGGCCUUAUUUUCAAGGGGGGAUUUUCUUGUGAAACAUAUGUAUGCAAUGCACUGGUGACAUUAUAUUCCCGCUCAGGGAACUUCAUAUCUGCUGAAGAAAUUUUCAAAACAAUGAUCCACAGGGAUGCAGUAUCUUAUAACUCACUGAUCUCUGGGCUAGCUCAGCAUGGGUUUAGUGAUAGAGCAUUGGAAUUGUUCAAAAGAAUGCAGAUUGAUUGUUUGGAACCAGACUGUGUUACAAUUGCUAGUCUUUUGAGUGCCUGCGCAGAUAUUGGUGCUCUGCAUAAGGGAACACAACUCCACUCACUUGCAAUAAAAGCGGGAAUGUCAUCAGAUAUCAUCCUUGAAGGCUCUCUGCUUGAUCUUUAUGUGAAAUGCUCUGAUGUGCAAACUGCCUAUGAGUUUUUCCUUACUACAGAGACAGAAAAUGUUGUCCUGUGGAAUGUGAUGUUAGUUGCUUAUGGUCAGCUAGAUGAUCUUAAUGAAUCAUUUCAUAUUUUUAGGCAAAUGCAUAUUGAGGGCAUGAUUCCUAAUCAGUACACCUACCCUAGUAUUCUGAGAACCUGUACCUCUGUCGGGGCUCUCAAUUUAGGAGAACAAAUACAUACUCAAGUCAUAAAAACUGGUUUUCAUUUAAAUGUUUAUGUCUGCAGUGUGCUUAUUGAUAUGUAUGCUAAGCAUGGGGAAUUGGAUACUGCCCUGAAAAUUCUCAGUAGACUCACUGAGGAUGAUGUUGUGUCUUGGACUGCUAUGAUCGCAGGGUAUGCACAGCAUGAUUUAUUUUCGGAAUCUCUUAUACUUUUUGAAGAAAUGCAAAAGAGAGGAAUUCGAUCUGACAACAUAGGAUUUUCAAGUGCAAUAAGUGCAUGUGCUGGUAUUCAAGCACUCAAUCAAGGAAGACAAAUUCAUGCUCAGUCGUGUGUCUCUGGUUGUUCAGAUGACCUGUCAGUCGGAAAUGCACUUGUUACCCUGUAUGCCAGAUGUGGUAGAAUAUGGGAAGCAUACCAUGCAUUUGAGGCAAUUGAUGCUAAAGAUAAUAUAUCAUGGAAUGGAUUGAUAUCUGGGUUUGCACAGAGUGGGUACUUUGAGGAAGCACUGCAGGUAUUUAAUCGGAUGAAUAAAGCUGGAGUAGAAGCUAAUUUGUUCACAUUUGGCUCUGCAAUUAGUGCUGCUGCUAAUUUAGCAAAUAUAAAACAAGGAGAGCAGAUCCAUGCUGCAAUUAUAAAAACUGGGAAGAAUUCCGAAACUGAGGUUUCCAAUGCUUUAAUCACAUUGUACUCGAAGUGUGGUAGCAUUAAUGAUGCCAAUAAAGAGUUUUCUGAAAUGCCUGAAAAGAAUGAGAUUUCUUGGAAUGCCAUGAUUACUGGCUAUUCUCAACAUGGGCGCGGUGUUGAAUCAAUACAUCUAUUUGAGGAGAUGAAACAACUUGGUGUAGUGCCAAGCCACGUCACAUUUGUGGGAGUACUUUCAGCCUGUAGCCAUGUAGGCUUGGUAGAUGAAGGGCUUGGUUACUUCGAAUCCAUGAGCAAAGAGCACGGGUUAGUGCCUAAGCCUGAACAUUAUGCUUGUGUUGUUGAUCUUCUAGGGCGAGCUGGUUCUUUGAGCUCUGCAAGAAAAUUUAUAAAGGAGAUGCCAAUGAAACCAGAUGCAAUGAUUUGGAGGACGCUCUUAAGUGCAUGUAUAACUCAUAAGAACACAGAAAUUGGAGAGUUUGCUGCCCAUCAUCUUCUAGAACUGGAACCUGAAGACUCAGCAACUUACGUUCUCCUAUCAAAUAUGUAUGCAGUAGCAGGAAUGUGGGGUUGUAGGGAUCAGACGAGGCAAUUAAUGAAGGAAAGGGGUGUGAAGAAAGAGCCUGGUCGUAGCUGGAUUGAGGUAAAAAACUCAGUUCAUGCAUUCUUUGUUGGUGACAAACUGCACCCACUUGCAGAUAAGAUUUAUGAAUUCUUAGGGGAUUUGAAUGAGCGGGCAGCUGAAAUUGGUUAUGUUGAAGACCGUUACAACCUUUGGAAUGAAAUAGAGCAGCAGCAGAAAGAUCCAACAGAGUAUAUUCACAGUGAGAAAUUGGCAAUCUCUUUUGGCCUACUCAGCUUAUCUAAUACGAUCCCUAUACGUGUAAUUAAGAAUCUUCGUGUUUGUAAUGAUUGCCAUAAUUGGAUCAAGUACAUGUCAAAGAUUUCAGAUCGAACUAUCAUAGUACGGGAUGCUUAUCGUUUUCAUCAUUUCAAAGAUGGUGUUUGUUCUUGUAGAGAUUACUGGUAAGAUUGUCAAAAGCUUACCGGAAUCCAUGUUUCCAUCGAGGAUUUCAAAUCACUUUAUUGUCCUAUGAUUGAGUCGAUUCAAGUUUCCUCUAAUAGAAGACCAUGACAAACAAAAACAAAGCUUGUCAUGUGAACUAGCUUGGAUAUUUGGACCAGUUCAAAUUUCCGUGACCAAUUUCUGCCAGCUACUGCCGCUUUUUGGAAUUUGAAUUUUUAAGGACUUGGUGACAAUUGUUGAUGCUCACUCCAGGAGAUGACUGUCUUACUUAAGCCCUGGAAAAGGGUAAAGAAAAGAAGUAAGCUUGGACCAAGGGCCUGCCACCUGCAGCAUCCUGGAACAGAAACACUUGGAGACCAGCCAGAGGCUGAUGGUGGAUUUGAAGUUGUAUCGUGAUUGAGGCUAACAUUCACAAACCAAUUGGUGCGGAAGGCCCUGCGAGAAUAUCAUAUCUACAGUUUACUUGGUUGCAGGCUGGAUCUCAGGCAAAUUGCGUUGGAAG
This is an RNA transcript of Prunus persica (peach), 4259 nucleotides long. It is a transcript of the gene named pentatricopeptide repeat-containing protein At4g13650, with no coding region annotated. The record is from RefSeq and is a predicted model, not a curated record. The transcript is spliced from 5 exons. NCBI's taxonomy places the organism in Eukaryota, Viridiplantae, Streptophyta, Magnoliopsida, Rosales, Rosaceae.